This is a transfer RNA of Loxodonta africana (African savanna elephant), 71 nucleotides long. It matches the Rfam family "tRNA". From Rfam's summary of the family: Transfer RNA (tRNA) molecules are approximately 80 nucleotides in length. Their secondary structure includes four short double-helical elements and three loops (D, anti-codon, and T loops). NCBI's taxonomy places the organism in Eukaryota, Metazoa, Chordata, Mammalia, Proboscidea, Elephantidae. The record is from Rfam.
GCACUCGUGGUUCAGUGGUAGAACUCUCACCUUUCAUGUGGGAGAUCUGGUUUUGAUUCCCAGCCAACACA